Podarcis lilfordi (Lilford's wall lizard) is the source of this 4758-nucleotide non-coding RNA. Lineage: Eukaryota; Metazoa; Chordata; Lepidosauria; Squamata; Lacertidae. The record is from the annotation of a GenBank genome assembly.
AGGUUGUCAAAAUCUUGGCAGAUUGCAGCUGGUCACUGAUGGGCUGCAUUUGACUUGGUAGAUAACAACUUGUGCAGGCCUGCCUUGAAUCAAGGUUAAUCCCUGGCCAGUGAAGUGUCUCUGUCUACAAGGGUGACUUUCAUACCUGGUAUGGUCUUUUGUGUCAGACUUGGGAAUGUUGGUGCCCGAUUGUGCUGAUUCACAUAAACACUGGGCAUAGCCAAGAACUAUAAAUUACUAAUUUGGCAGUAAUGGAAGUAUUUGGAAGUCCUAGUUGUCCUAUUGGCAGCUUUCCUAUUAAUGUAUAUUACUUAGGGUUUAUUGCUGAGUACUGUUGUUUCCAGAUUUUAUUUUGCCUUAAUCAUUUGUGUGAUGCUAUUUUGAGAGAAAUCGAUGAUUUCAUGAGUUAUGAACACUAAUGUAGCUAACAGACUUAGGGCCCUCUGAUGCCGCUGAGGUAUUGUUUUUCCACAGGUCAUCUGCGCUGAUAAUUUAAAGGGUUAUUUCACUUAAUGUAGCAUUAUGUUCCCCUUAAAAAUGCCUUCCCUCAUAACACACUACUUCAUUUACUCAGAGUAAAGGAAAUUUACUUACAAGACCCUACGUCUCUAUGACAGUCCCUUUAAUGAGUAGCUUCCCUCUGCCCAUUACUUUUAGAGGGGAUUAUUCCUCUUUAGUUAGUGGCUUCCUGUUUACGUUUGUGAUUGUGGCAUUCAUGAAUUGGCCUUUAAUUUGUCAGUUCCUGCUCCCUGUGAGAGUUGUUGGUGGCAGGGAUUUUAGUCUUAGUUUCUUGCAGCCAGGGUAAUUUCUCAUUAAUUUUAUCUUUUAAAAUAGUAAUUGCAAAAUGAAGACGGACGCUCCUGAAUUUCUGUGGGGAAUAUAGUAUUAUAUUAAGUGUGAUAUGCAACCACUGCCUUAAUUCUGUUACCAGCUGAUUGUGGAAAAGCAGCUCCUGAGCUUGGGUAAGCUGUGGUGAGGAAGCAGCUGCAAACAACUCAUUCCAGGGCAGGCUUCCUCAACCUCGGCCCUCCAGAUGUUUUGAGACUAUAACUCCUCUAUCAUCCCUGACCACUGGUCCUAGCAGCUAGAGAUGAUGGGAAUCGUAGUCCAGCAACACCUGGGGACCCAAGUUUGAGAAACAUUGAUAAAGCCUUAUGAUCAGUAUGAGGAGAAGUUAAUUGAAUUGAAUUGCUGUAGAUUGCUGCAAUCUGCUGCCUGUUUUGGUGCAAAUUUCUUUUCAAUUUUUUUAGCACCCUCUCUGCCAAAGCUAAUACAGAAUCCCACUUCUCUUGCUUUCACAAGUUGUGCUCAUUGCAGGGUUUUCCCCCUCUAAGUCAAAAGCUUAGCCUUUUUUUGCUAUUGAAAAUGGGUACAAUUAAAGCUGUUGGACUAGUUCAUGAGUAAUGGCAAGCCAUGGUUUGACUGACCUUGAGCUUGUGUGUUCCCCUCUUCCCCUUGUGUGUUUCGAUUCUCUCUCUGAUCUCCAAACCACGGUUUGCUGUUAUAUUCCAACUCACCAAACUAUGGUAGCCCUCCAAAGCAGAAUUGGAAGCUGUGGUUUGGAGGAUGAGUGCAAACUGUAGUUUGCUGAUUGAGAUGGGAUUGCAAGCUGUGGUUUGUCCAAACCUAGGAGUCAGAAAGGGAAUUGGGGCAGAGAUAGAGAAGAUGUGUGAAUUUAAGACCCAACAGCCAAAUAAGGCCAUGGUCAGGCUGAAAACAAACCAUGUUUUGCCUGCAUUGGAGUUUUGAAAGUGAUGUGAUGGAGGUGAGUACAUGUGGUUCUUUUGCCUCGGUCUUGUCUGUAGUUGCACAGGAGAUUGAGCUUUUUAAAACACUACAAAAAAACCUAGCCCAACCUGAUGUGGUGGUGGGCAGAAGGUAGAUCUUGAUGAUUUGCAGUUCAUCAGCAAGGGUUUCUGAAUCCCAAUUUUUUAACAGCAACAUAUUUCCCCCCUAAAUUAGGAUGUUGGAAUCCCUGGCCUACUGCAACUCAGUUGUAGAUUUGUGCUUUUUUGUACAUCCGGUUAACUCAGGAGGGCAAUAGACUCUGCUUGUUGCACUUCCCCUUGGCCGGUGGGUCUCAGGAUCACAAUGAGAAAACAAAGUACCCGGUAGAUUUCACAAGCCUGACAUUCUGCGAUUGUCUGUGAUUGUGAGUUGAGCAGCACACCCUAUCAACGUGCACCUUAAACAUUCUGGAAAAAAGCCUUCUAAUAUUAGCCUGACCUUUGAAUUACACAGGUGAGAGAAUUAUAUAGAGAGCUUUUAUUUUCCCCCUUCAGCGCUUCCCACUCUCAGCUUGGCCUUUUGGUCUUACAUUUAAGACUUUAUUUGUACCUUUUAUGAUCGUUAACUUCUUAUUCUCUAAUUAUAGGAUUUCAUUCCAAGCUUCCCGCAAGCUUUCUUUUACAGCCCCUAAAGGGGCUCCGUUUAUACAGACCCUAAAUGGUAGGGGGUUUAAUGCCUGUUUUCAUUCUGAAGCACAAUUUAGCACUUUGGUUCACCAUGUCUGUCUGAGAAAUUACCUGUGUCACUUCGUUAUAAGUGUAAUAUUUUUCCUGCCCCAGUACCAUGGUUCCUGUGGUUUUUAUUGCUUUUAAGUUGAUGGCCUAUUGUUCUUUCCUCCACUUUUUUUUUAAUGCCCUUUAAAAGUCCAAAUGCACCCCUGCCCCCAAAAGAAAACGUUUGAAUUGCUUCCAAAGUAGGAUGAGACCACUUUAAUUAAAUCUUCAGAAAUAAACAUAUUUCCUAAGGGCUGUAAACUAUUUCCCCCCCUGUUUGGGCUUGUGGGCCCACGAUGUGUGAGGAAUUUGAUUCAUGCCCAUUUUGCAUACAAAUAUUAUUGGUAUGUUUGAGAAUAUUAAUUAAGAGCAUCUUAAUGAGAUUAUCCUUACCCUGUUCUGGAAUGUUCUCUUGGUGGAUUAGCCUGUCAAAUAAAUUAUGUGGGUCAGUGUGGAAGGUUAUAAGCAUAUUCUGACAUGUAUUUUUCCUGUUAUUUUUAGGAUUUUUAUUGCUUAAUUGUAUGCAUUUUUUUGUGAUGAUUGUAGUUUUUUUAUUGUUUCGAUAUGGUCUGUGGACUAAUUCCUGGAGGUUUAGUCUGUCAGAGAAAUUCUGUGGGUCAGUUUGUCAGGGGAAGGAAGUGGGGGAUGAGUUGCUUUGAGAGAACUGCUUUCCUCGCGGGUCAGUCACACCAGGGAAAUUUCCUCUGGGAUUUCUGAUGGUAGUAGGUAUAACAGCAAUUUAAAAGCAGUAAAAAGGCACGAAACAAGGUCUUGAAAACAAGAGGGGAAGAGUUGUUUAUCAUGCAGUGCUAGACAGCUAAUUUAUUUAGAGCUUCUGAGGGAGACAAGAUAGGCUUGUUUUAUUACCACUUUAAUGAAAAAGACUUGGAGCCAGUGUUACGGUUGCCACGGGGAUGCCACUAAAAAUGGCGUCCCCCUGGUGAGCAAACUCUGUCCAGCGGUGACAUUGGUCAAGUCCUCCCCACACACUCCUCUUCAGUUUUGAUACCCCACAGUCGAGACAGCACACCGGAUUAUUUGCAACUAUUACCACAGAGUUGGUUUGGGCAGCAUCCAUGGAGCAACGAUAAUACAUACUCCAGCCCUUGGAGUGUUUAUAAGACUGGAAGAAGAUCCUGUUAUGUUUUAUUCUGUUGUUGGCGUUUACUGUGUUUUAGCUGACUUUCAGUUUUUUCUGCGAGUCAGUUUGAGAGCUUUUCUGGGGACCAAAAACAUGCCCUGUAAACAAACAAACAAGCAAGCAAAAAUGUAAAACCUUAGCCCUCAGCUCUUCAAAUAUGAAAAACUGAGGUGGGAAAAAAGUUUUGCUUUGCUUUACGCUCUCAUCUCAAAAAUGGUCAAGGGCCUGCACGCUUCCCUAUGUACACCACACACCAGUAACUGUUGGGGGCCAUUUUCUACUUGACCUUGUUUUCUUUUCUUGAUUUUUUUAAAGUGUGGGAGUGACCACAUAGUGACUUCCCCCCUUCCAGUUUUCAUGCCAUAAAUACUUUUGGUGGAUUUGGUUUAUCUUUAUGUGAACUGUUUGCUCCUUUCCUGGGCAGCCAAUUCUGAGGGUGAUGGAACUACCAUUAGAGGCCCCUGCGCAGCAAGUAAAGCCCAGGAAGGUCAGUAAGGACGGAGGUGUUAUCUGUAUCUAUCUAUCUAUCGUCUGUCUAUCUAUCUGUCAAUAACCAGUAGAGAAGAAGGAAGGAGGAGGUCUUCCAGAUACUUUAACUGGAUAAUUUCCUCUGACUUCUUGCUCAGAACCAAGGCCCUGUGUUCCUAUGAAGCACUGAGCUGUCAGCAAGUGCUGGUUUCUUCUGUGAGCUGCAAGUACUUAGCACUUGGCAAAGGUGCUGAAACAAAUGGGGGCAGGGAAGAGGGUGGGGGGAAGGAGAGGCGAACACUUUUCUCCCAAGAUGAUGCGCUCCAUUACUGACUUGUCACUUUGAGUGGGAUUGUAGCCUUCUGAGGCUAAUGCGAUUAACCGUGAAGGCUGGUGUGUAACAAUCUGAUCUUUGCCUAUUUCAUGGCUGCUACUGUGACAUGGAAAGUUAUGAGGGAACUAUACUUGGGAACAGAUCAAAUGGCAUAGGACGAAAGCACAGGACUAUACUGAGACUUUUGUUUAUGCAGUUACAUCAUGUACAUCUAGCGCCCUAACAGGCAUCCUUUUCAUUGUUCGUUCAUGAUUAUUUCUUUCUUUCUUUUUUUAUAAGAUAUUUAUUAAGAUUUUCAAAAUAUUACAACAUAG